Molecule: ribosomal RNA, 224 nt
Filed under: uncultured bacterium
Lineage: Bacteria
Description: partial 16S ribosomal RNA
Rfam family: Bacterial small subunit ribosomal RNA
Source: RNAcentral
UACGUAGGGUGCAAGCGUUGUCCGGAAUUAUUGGGCGUAAAGAGCUCGUAGGCGGUUUGUCGCGUCUGCUGUGAAAACUCAGGGCUUAACCCUGAGCCUGCAGUGGGUACGGGCAGACUAGAGUGCGGUAGGGGAGACUGGAAUUCCUGGUGUAGCGGUGAAAUGCGCAGAUAUCAGGAGGAACACCGGUGGCGAAGGCGGGGUCUCUGGGCCGUAACUGACGC